CGAAAGCACAGUAACUAUGAAUGGAUUUCAAUGGCGGUGAAAUGUCAGACAAAAACAACGCUUCAUUAAUUUAAACCCGAAUAUUUGGAGUUAGGCGACAGUUGUGCCACCAAAUUGGCCUCUGCACACAGGAAAUAUAUUGAGUCAUUCCAUGCCAGUAAGUUCCAGAUAUAAAACAAAUACUAUAAAAGAUCGGCAACGUUGUUAGCGGUACCUUUAAUCUGGGGCAGUCAUGCCCAGACCCAGCUAAUCCAACGAGAAUAAAAAGAUCCCCCUCCACAAGUCCACCCACUCUAGAAGAUGCAUGUAUUGUGAAGAAACAGACCACACAAUUUUAAGAAUAUUACAGAAUAUAAUAUAUACUGACCAAAAUUAAAUAUACACAAUAUAAAACAGGAAUAUGUUUUAAUAGCAUCAAUGUUAACACUGCGUGAAGUUUUAGAUUUUAUACUCGACAUCUACUUACCGGUCUUAGAGAUAAGCAAUUUUGAGGCAAAAGUUUAUAGCUAUAGCAUAAACAAUUCUCUGUGAUCUCAACCUUGCCACCCUUUUUUCUGUGGUCUCUGUGACAUCUCUUGGAUGCCUUGAGACAACACGUCUGUGCACAGUUUUCCUACGCUUUGAUGGUGAGGAAGGGUCUGUAAGAUGGGUCAGUCGUAGCCUUUUCUAGUGUUGGCAAAUCCGGCAAACUUUUAAUAUUAUCAGAACUUGAUAGUGGUGUAGGAAUAGUGGUGCGUGGAUCACUGGAUGUGUCAGCUACUCAGCAUAAAAAGCAUAAAAUAUCGAUAGAUUUUCCCACUCUU
Patella vulgata (common limpet) is the source of this 803-nucleotide long non-coding RNA. RefSeq lists it as uncharacterized. The transcript has 3 exons. NCBI's taxonomy places the organism in Eukaryota, Metazoa, Mollusca, Gastropoda, Patellidae. The record is from RefSeq and is a predicted model, not a curated record.